RNAcentral lists this long non-coding RNA (303 nucleotides) under Homo sapiens (human). RNAcentral's name for it is "non-protein coding lnc-USP12-7:2". The record is from RNAcentral. Lineage: Eukaryota; Metazoa; Chordata; Mammalia; Primates; Hominidae.
AUUCUAAUCACUCUAAUGGGCCGCCACAUAAAAUCCCUGGAGAAGAUGUGUGCUGACUUGGUCAGAGGAGCAAAGGAAAAGAAUCCCAAAGUGAAAGGACUGGUUCGGAUGCCUACCAAGACUUUGAGAAUCACUAUAAGAAAAACUCCUUGUGAUGAAGGUUCUAAGACGUGGGAUUGUUUUUGGAUGAGAAUCCACAAGCGACUCAUUGACUUGCAGAGCCUUUCUGAGAUUGUUAAGCAGAUUACUUCCAUUAAUAUUGAGCCAGGAGUUGAGGUGGAUGCCAUCAUUGCAGAUGCUUAA